Molecule: long non-coding RNA, 2473 nt
Filed under: Anas platyrhynchos platyrhynchos (common mallard)
Lineage: Eukaryota; Metazoa; Chordata; Aves; Anseriformes; Anatidae
Description: lncRNA (ENSAPLG00000018085.1)
Source: RNAcentral
AUGAAAAAGAAUGGUCAAGUAAAGAGUCGCAGAUUCCAUAAGGGAGAGCACAUUGUGUUCUUGCCUGCCUUGCCUUGCCUGGAAAGGAGAGUUAUCUGGAUCAGGAACGUCAUGCCUCCUGCUGAGGGAGGAGCAUGGAAUAUGUGCAUGGGAGAUGAAAUCAGAAAGGACGAGGAGACAACAGCAUGCUCUGCUCAGAUCUCUCCCAGGAAGAGAUGUGGGUCACCAUAAAAACUGAACGGAUGUUGUAUAUUUUUGAAGGUAAUAUAGAGCUGGAAGUUUACAGAGCACAGAGAUAGUUCAAUAUAUUAUGACAGGGCAUAAAGCCUGUGUUGACAGCACUUCCUUGAAACCAGAUACUAAAGGUCCAUACACUGAGCAGCUGUCACAGAGUAACAUACGUUGAAUUUCACAUCCUGGUGUAUCCCAUGGUAAUUUGUUUGCUUACACUGUCCCUAAGAAUGUGAAACCACUCAGAUGGUUUUUGCAAUGGAAUUUUACAUGACACCUGCAUGUCUAAUCAGAAAGUCACUAAUUUUGUAUGAAAAAAACACAGCCAACUACUACUCACAUCCUGGGAGAAAAAAUAUAUGUAUAUCUAAACAAAAGAAGCAUUUAAUAACUUUAUUUAUUUAUAUUUAUUUUUUUCCUCCACCUCCAAAAGCUACAGAUCCCUUUUGGCCUGGAUUAUUUUGUAUCUGAGUAUGUAUAAUGUAUUUGCUUAUCUGAUACUUGGACGGAUUCCAGGUUAUAUGAUUACUAUGUACAUAACCCACUCCUCACUUUUGCUAUUAAAAAAUCAGCUUGAAGUAUGCCAAUAACUACACUUUAUUGGUUUUAAAUUUACGGUAUGUUUAGUUUUGCUUGCCUUUGUUUUGGAUAAGGAAUUACAUUUCUUUUUUUCCAGAAGACUAGAAAGCUCUAGCUUUAGCCAUGUGUAACACAUAGAUGUUCCUUCCCCCUCUACACCCCAUUAUAGAUAUAUGCUACUUCUGACAUAAGAAAAGUGUUUUAAAUACAAAAUAUCUCAAAUACACAAAGAUAAUCAUUACACAUUCUCAAUAUUACGUGGAAAUUUUGAUUUCUGCUGCACUGCCAAGCCUAGGGUAGGUUGGCAUCCUACUUCACAGUUGGUAGCUCUCCAUACGUGAAGCACCGGUGUUGCUGUUGUGGUUGCUUUAAGAAUUGAAUGCUUUUGUGUUUACUUGUGGUUUAUUUUUCUAGCUAGUGACAAAGUAAACUAUGGUUUAUUUUUGUUUAUUUAGUUUAUCCAUAAACAUGAGUGCUAUGCUGCCACAACGGGGAAUAAGUGGGAGAAUUAAAUGCAAUUACACUUACUGAAAUGGUAUCCAAAUUUCUAGCAAUGCUUUUAUUUUUGCUUAAAGAUCAACAACAACAAAAUACAGGCAAUGAGGAAACUAACCUAUGUAAGGUAAUAGCUCCUUCUCCCUCUAUUUCAACUGAUAUGCGAAAAUUGUUUUUAUUACAGCAUAUGUGAAACAACUGUAUUCAGCAGUGCUACCAAAAAGGUACGGAAGAGAUCAGAUGUAAUGUUACUACGCAGUAAAGAGAUGAAAUUUUGUUUCCAUGUCUUAGGAUAACCAAAGUUUACGUUCUAAAAUAUGUAUUUUGUUUAGGAAAUUAAGAAACCCAGAACAAUAUUUUAGAAGUUAAAUACAAAACAGUAGUAAAUAGUAAAGAGAUGAAACUUUAUUUCCAUGUCUUAGGAUAACCAAAGUCCGUGUUCUAAAAUAUGUAUUUUGAUUUGAAAAGUAAGAAACCCAGAACAAUAUUUUAGUUAAUACAAAACAGUAGUAAAUAUGCAAAAUACAUUUGAUAAGCAGAGCAAUGAGGCAAAAGAAAUUAAGUAUAAUAAUUGAUUUUUAAAAUGCAACUUUGUAAUGCUUGGCUUCCCCCCCACCCCUUAUGUGUAAUCUGUUGUCAGUCUAAACAGUAUAGGCAUGUAACAUAGUGAGUAUUGGUUGAACUUAAUUACCAAAGCAUCAGAAAGGUAAUGACACUGGAAGGCCUGAUAUCCGCAUCAGUACGUACUAACCAUAAUGUGUUUGAGGAAAAUGAGGUUAAAAAAUACAGUUUUGUGAUAUACAGUACUUCUUCAGUAAGAGAACUUGUCCAAAAAGAAGACAUUCUCUCAUAGCACAGAUUUCUUGACCAUUUCAAACAGCAACAUGAAAACUGCUAUUACAGUACAACUGCUAAUGCUGAGUGAUACUUUGGUAAGAACACACAUUCCACAUCUGUGUGCAAUAUUGGACAUUUCACCAUGUUUUGGGAGAUUUUUUUUACCCUGACAUACUUAUUCAAGAGUUUGCUGUGAACCAUUGAGAUUGAUUUGUUUAUACAUUUGAUUCAUCAAAACUAAACACCCUACAUAGGACCAAUAGAGCAGAAUUAUUCAAGUUCAUUGAAAUAUUAAAAUAAAAAAAAAAAAGGCUUCCUUUUUAGGAAAACU